AGGGUGAUGGGGUCAGGAAGUGAGGCUUUAGCGGUAAAAGAAGAGUAGGAGGAAAAAGGAGAAUAGAGUUAUUUCUAGAGGCAAGAAUUCAGUGACGGUCCCCUGUAGCCAGCGGUCUGUUACCCACUGUAGAAUAUCUGCUACUUCAAGGGAAGCAGGCCUGGACCACUGUGUAUCGGCUAGUAGGAGCCUAACGAAGCUAGUGAAUUUACAGUAAAGACAGAACCACAUAUAGUAUUAAUGGACAAAGGGUGGGUGCCCCUCGAGAGGGAGACCAGUCUGAUGCCUUCCUGGCCAUGUCCCCGAAGGGAUGUUUCAGGGCAUCUUGGCU
Sapajus apella (tufted capuchin) is the source of this 331-nucleotide long non-coding RNA. RefSeq lists it as uncharacterized. The transcript has 3 exons. The record is from RefSeq and is a predicted model, not a curated record. NCBI's taxonomy places the organism in Eukaryota, Metazoa, Chordata, Mammalia, Primates, Cebidae.